This 492-nucleotide ribosomal RNA is filed under the name uncultured bacterium. RNAcentral's name for it is "partial 16S ribosomal RNA". It matches the Rfam family "Bacterial small subunit ribosomal RNA", at positions 29 to 507 of the family's 1533-position model. The record is from RNAcentral.
AGUGAACGCUGGCGGUAGGCCUAACACAUGCAAGUCGAACGGCAGCACAGUAAGAGCUUGCUCUUACGGGUGGCGAGUGGCGGACGGGUGAGGAAUACAUCGGAAUCUACUUUUUCGUGGGGGAUAACGUAGGGAAACUUACGCUAAUACCGCAUACGACCUACGGGUGAAAGCAGGGGAUCUUCGGACCUUGCGCGAUUGAAUGAGCCGAUGUCGGAUUAGCUAGUUGGCGGGGUAAAGGCCCACCAAGGCGACGAUCCGUAGCUGGUCUGAGAGGAUGAUCAGCCACAUUGGAACUGGAAAACGGUCCAGACUCCUACGGGAGGCAGCAGUGGGGAAUAUUGGACAAUGGGCGCAAGCCUGAUCCAGCCAUACCGCGUGGGUGAAGAAGGCCUUCGGGUUGUAAAGCCCUUUUGUUGGGAAAGAAAAGCAGCAGGUUAAUACCCCGCUGUUCUGACGGUACCCAAAGAAUAAGCACCGGCUAACUUCGUG